AACCAGCACUAAGAAGAUCAGCAGUUGCAUGCCGAGAUCUGCCUCCACUUUGACAGCCCUGCACAGGAAAAUAAUUAGAUAACAUAAAGAUUGCAUUUUGGAACUUUAGAAAGCAUAGGGCACUUAUCCUUCCUGUCACCAUGUAAUUAACUGAGAAAGCAAAUGAUAAAUUUAACUCUGAAUAAUUACCACAACAAGAUGAUCAUCCUCCUUGCAAACAGCUGAAAUCUCCUUCAAGAAUUUUGGAUUUUUCAACCAUCCUACUGGAGUCUUCAACAUGUAAGGAACGUUGAAUAUCUUCUCUGCAUGUACAUGCCCUUUCUUGAACUCCUCCACCAUCCUAACAUCCACAUAAACGUAACCAGACUCGAGAAGACCCUUAGCUGCCUUAACGUCAACAGUGACGACUUCAGCUUCUGAGCUUUUUAUCGAGAGCCCAUGCCAAGACCAGUUGAAUUUUGAUUCCAGAUCUGGUGGCUGUUUGCUGGGUUUGCCUUAGAAAACCAGCUGCUGGUAUAUGUGCGGGCUGAUUUAGAGCGGCAACUGCUGCUGUUUGUUGCACCCAUUCAUUUUCUAUGGGAAGACUACGGUGCACUGUCUUUAAA
Molecule: unclassified non-coding RNA, 605 nt
Filed under: Hevea brasiliensis (rubber tree)
Lineage: Eukaryota; Viridiplantae; Streptophyta; Magnoliopsida; Malpighiales; Euphorbiaceae
Source: RNAcentral